Molecule: ribosomal RNA, 253 nt
Filed under: uncultured beta proteobacterium
Lineage: Bacteria; Pseudomonadati; Pseudomonadota; Betaproteobacteria
Description: partial 16S ribosomal RNA
Rfam family: Bacterial small subunit ribosomal RNA
Source: RNAcentral
GAGUUUGAUCGUGGCUCAGAUUGAACGCUGGCGGCAUGCUUUACACAUGCAAGUCGAACGGACUUUGAGGCUUGCCUCAGAGUUAGUGGCGAACGGGUGAGUAAUGCAUCGGAACGUACCGCGUAGUGGGGAGUAACGCAGCGAAAGACUGUGCUAAUACCGCAUACGAUCUACGGAUGAAAGUAGGGGACCGGCAAGGCCUCACGCUAUACGAGCGGCCGAUGUCCGAUUAGCUAGUUGGUGGGGUAAAGGG